CAGGGCAAUUAAAGUGCUUUUUAAAUUUAGAAACAUUUUGAGCCCCCCUCUCUUGCCUCACAGUGGUUUGGUCCACUGCCUGCUUUCUCUCUCAUGCCCCUUUUCCACCAAAAAAGAACUGGUUCGGAACUGGUGCUGGUUCAAAGUUGGUUCAAAGUUGGUUCAACUUGCGAACCUUCUCAGAACCUGUUUGUUUUUCCACUGACUAGAGAGCCCAGCGAACGACGUCAUCACGUCACUGUGUACGUCGCCAUACGUCUUAGCCUUCCCAGAAAUGCUUGUGCCAACUUCAAGCAUAACAGUUACAAUGGCGGACUACAUCGUCUUUCUGCAAAUGUUUCUCCUGGCUUUGCGAUCCUAUAUUGGGGUCAGAAGAAAACGUUUAGAACACAUUUGUGCUGCUCGUCUGGAUUACUAUAGACGGAGGUUACGUUCGAGAAGAAGGGCAACGUUAGUAUUGCGGCACAUCGCAAGACAGAGACGGCCUGUUGUCUGGGCACACCCACGAUCUCAGCACUGGUGGGACACAAUUGUUCCGGAUUUCACCGCUCAACAGUUUUUGCAGAAUUUCCGAGUGUCCCGGGAGUCAUUUGAGUACAUCUGUGCUCGAGUCAGGCCUGACAUGGGGAGAAGGAACCCAAAUUACCGUAUGCGUGUCACAAUCCGAAAGUGAGUGGCAAUUGCCAUCUGGAAACUGGCCACCGGCAUCGAAUACAGGACCAUAAGCCAUCUUUUUGAGGUAGGCCUCAGCACUGUGUUUAACUGUGUUCAGGACUUUUGCUACGCAGUCAACAAGGUGCGGCUUCCUGUGCACAUUUCAUUUCCUGACGCUGACAAGUUUGUAGAACUAGCCACAUUCUUUCAGAAUCGUUGGAGAGUACCACAGUGUGUCGGAGCAAUAGAUGGAAGUCACAUCCCUGUAAUAGCACCAGAGGAGUACCCUAGAGACUAUUACAACUGGAAAGGAUGGCAUUCAAUUGUUCUCCAAGCAGUGGUUGAUGGGAUGUAUUUGUUGGCUAUCCAGGUAGUGUUCACGACGUAAGAGUACUGAGACGGUCACAUUUGUGGGAAGUCCUGAAUGACGGGGAGUUAUUAGGCCAAAACAAAAUGAACAUCUCUGGGUGUGAUGUUGGACAUUAUCUAAUUGGUGACCCAGCUUACCCUAUGCAGAACUGGCUCAUGAAGCCCUUUUCAGACACUGGCAGACUUACACAUGAACAACAGACCUACAAUUACCGGCUGAGCAGUGCACGGUCAGUUGUGGAGAUGUGUUUUGGGAGACUAAAAGGUUGAUGGAGGUGCCUCCUAAAAAGAAAUGACUGCAAGCUGGAGCUGAGCAAGCAAAUGACACUCGCCUGCUGUGUGCUUCACAACAUUUGUGAGGAACAUGGGGACAACUUUACAGAGGAGCAUCAAGACAGGCCUAUAAACGUUCAGCCUCCUAUCCAGGCGCUACCUGAACAUGGUAAUCAAGAAGGGGCUGACAUCAGAGCUGCGUUAAUUCAGUACUUUUGUAGAGGGAAUGACUGAUUUAUUUUUUUCUUACUGCACCACUGCCAUACAUUGUAAUUCUAGCUGAGUUGUAUUUUUGUUAAAUAAUUAAACUGCCAUAACACCAGAUGUAACAUUUUUAUGUUUAUUUGCUGAGUUAAUAGUUCCCUCUUUCUGGUUUCCUGAAAUGUGUUUAAUCUGCACAAAUGUAAAUAAAACAUUUUUUUUAAACCUUGA
Long non-coding RNA from Micropterus dolomieu (smallmouth bass), 1728 nucleotides. RefSeq lists it as uncharacterized. The record is from RefSeq and is a predicted model, not a curated record. NCBI's taxonomy places the organism in Eukaryota, Metazoa, Chordata, Actinopteri, Centrarchiformes, Centrarchidae. The transcript is spliced from 2 exons.